CUCUCAUGUAUCUGGUCUGAAGAGAGCGAUUCUCCAAACCCUCUCUUCUCUUGCCGCCUCCAUUUUCACUCUUCUACCGGUGUGUAUCUCUACUUUCUUCGUUGAUUCUUUAUUUUUAUAUCACCAGUUGAUUUUGUUCUUCUAUUUUAGAUUUCGAUCUGGCUGCUCGUAAUGCUAAUUCUUGCUGUUUUUGGUGUUUGAUUGCUUAAUUUAACUUUGUGUUGUUUAGAUUCUUGAUCAUGCUGUUUUGUGACGAUGUUUCUGUUAAAUAAGAUGAUUAUUGAUGUGAAUCGUAUAGUUUAACGUUGAUAAGUAUUUGAUGGCUGGACAUUGGUUGUUAUUAUUUUCUUCAAUUUUUUUUUCUACUUAUAGCUUAAUAUAGUUAUACAGUUAAUCAAAUCUAAGAUGUGUUCUAAAUUUUGAUGUACCCCGUGAUAGCCUUUUCCAGCUGAAAUAUGUCGAUUUGGAUUUCAAUUCACUUGCCAGUUGCCACCAUAUUUCAUUUGCUAUUCCUAUCAAAUAAUUUUUGCAAUUCAUUGAAUGUUUGGGUGUGCUUUUCGAGUUGACUGCUUCGUUAUUAAUUAAUUAUAAGAGGAUUUGGGCAGGCAGCUAGCAAUUGCCUGUGUAAAUUUGAGGAUUGUCUUCUACACACAUAACUUUGCAUCUCACUGUGGAAAUGGAUCAUUAGUUGAUUGCUUUCAGUGUGUUUAACUUUCAUUAGAUAUUUCUUCUGUAAAUUAUACUACGAUUUGUUUUUGUUUAUCUGUGCA
This 770-nucleotide unclassified non-coding RNA is filed under the name Hevea brasiliensis (rubber tree). Lineage: Eukaryota; Viridiplantae; Streptophyta; Magnoliopsida; Malpighiales; Euphorbiaceae. The record is from RNAcentral.